This 472-nucleotide ribosomal RNA is filed under the name uncultured bacterium. RNAcentral describes it as "partial 16S ribosomal RNA". It matches the Rfam family "Bacterial small subunit ribosomal RNA", at positions 28 to 507 of the family's 1533-position model. The record is from RNAcentral.
GACGAACGCUGGCGGCGUGCUUAACACAUGCAAGUCGAACGAUGAAGCCCAGCUUGCUGGGUGGAUUAGUGGCGAACGGGUGAGUAAUACGUGAGUAACCUGCCUUUAACUCUGGGAUAAGCCUUGGAAACGGGGUCUAAUACCGGAUACGACCAACCCUCGCAUGGGGUGGUGGUGGGAAGGGAUUUUGUACUGGUUUUAGAUGGGCUCACGGCCUAUCAGCUUGUUGGUGAGGUAACGGCUCACCAAGGCGACGACGGGUAGCCGGCCUGAGAGGGUGACCGGCCACACUGGGACUGAGACACGGCCCAGACUCCUACGGGAGGCAGCAGUGGGGAAUAUUGCACAAUGGGCGCAAGCCUGAUGCAGCGACGCCGCGUGAGGGAUGACGACCUUCGGGUUGUAAACCUCUUUCAGCAGGGGAGAAGCGAAAGUGACGGUACCUGCAGAAGAAGCGCCGGCUAACUACGUG